GACGUGACUUCAGAGUUUGAUCCUGGCUCAGGACGAACGCUGGCGGCGUGCUUAACACAUGCAAGUCGAACGAGAAUCUGUGGAACAAGGAUUCGUCCAAGUGAAGCGGAGGACAGUGGCGGACGGGUGAGUAACGCGUCGAGGAACCUGGCUUUCAGAGGGGGACAACAGUUGGAAACGACUGCUAAUACCGCAUAACGCAUAGGAGUCGCAUGGCUCAUAUGCCAAAGAUUUAUCGCUGAAAGAUGGCCUCGCGUCUGAUUAGCUAGUUGGUGAGGUAACGGCCCACCAAGGCGACGAUCAGUAGCCGGACUGAGAGGUUGAACGGCCACAUUGGGACUGAGAUACGGCCCAG
This 355-nucleotide ribosomal RNA is filed under the name uncultured bacterium. RNAcentral's name for it is "bacterial SSU rRNA". It matches the Rfam family "Bacterial small subunit ribosomal RNA", at positions 1 to 334 of the family's 1533-position model. The record is from RNAcentral.